This 434-nucleotide ribosomal RNA is filed under the name uncultured Lachnospiraceae bacterium. RNAcentral's name for it is "partial 16S ribosomal RNA". It matches the Rfam family "Bacterial small subunit ribosomal RNA", at positions 341 to 792 of the family's 1533-position model. Lineage: Bacteria; Bacillati; Bacillota; Clostridia; Lachnospirales; Lachnospiraceae. The record is from RNAcentral.
ACGGAAGGCGGCAGUGGGGAAUAUUGCACAAUGGGGGAAACCCUGAUGCAGCGACGCCGCGUGAGCGAAGAAGUAUUUCGGUAUGUAAAGCUCUAUCAGCAGGGAAGAAAAUGACGGUACCUGACUAAGAAGCCCCGGCUAACUACGUGCCAGCAGCCGCGGUAAUACGUAGGGGGCAAGCGUUAUCCGGAUUUACUGGGUGUAAAGGGAGCGUAGACGGCAAGGCAAGUCUGAAGUGAAAUGCCGGGGCGCAACCCCGGAACUGCUUUGGAAACUAUCUCGCUCGAGUACCGGAGGGGUAAGCGGAAUUCCUAGUGUAGCGGUGAAAUGCGUAGAUAUUAGGAGGAACACCAGUGGCGAAGGCGGCUUACUGGACGGUAACUGACGUUGAGGCUCGAAAGCGUGGGGAGCAAACAGGAUUAGAUACCCUGGUA